RNAcentral lists this unclassified non-coding RNA (217 nucleotides) under Borrelia sp. BC04BTP660. RNAcentral's name for it is "partial miscellaneous RNA". The record is from RNAcentral. Lineage: Bacteria; Pseudomonadati; Spirochaetota; Spirochaetia; Spirochaetales; Borreliaceae.
GUAGGUUAUUGCCAGGGUUUUUAUUUUUAUACUUUAAAUUUUGAUUUUAUUUUUAUGUUAUKUAAAUAAUACAUUUAAAAACACCAAUAUUUAAAUAACAUAAAAAUAAAAUAUAUAUUGACAUGGAUUAAACAAAGGUAUAUAUUAUUUUAUGUUGCAUAAACAAAUUGGCAAAAUAGAGAUGGAAGAUGAAGAUAUGGGCCAAGGAAUAAGAGUC